UGACCAGGGGGCCGGGUUGCUCUGAUCAAGGUGGAUCGGCGUGACCUACGGGUACAGGGAGUGCCUGCGCAAGGGCCGGGUCAGGAGAAAA
Non-coding RNA from Pseudomonas brenneri, 91 nucleotides. The record is from Rfam. NCBI's taxonomy places the organism in Bacteria, Pseudomonadati, Pseudomonadota, Gammaproteobacteria, Pseudomonadales, Pseudomonadaceae.